GUGGGGAAUCUUCCGCAAUGGACGAAAGUCUGACGGAGCAACGCCGCGUGAGUGAAGAAGGUUUUCGGAUCGUAAAGCUCUUUCGUUAGGGACGAACGUGCUCUUUGUGAAUAAUGAGGAGUAAUGACGGUACCUAAAUAAGAAGCCACGGCUAACUACGUGCCAGCAGCCGCGGUAAUACGUAGGUGGCAAGCGUUGUCCGGAAUUAUUGGGCGGAAAGCGCGCGCAGGCGGGAUAUCAAGUCUGUCUUAAAAGUGCGAGGCUCAACCUCGUGAGGGGACAGAAACUGGUAUUCUUGAGUGUCGGAGAGGAAAGUGGAAUUCCAAGUGUAGCGGUGAAAUGCGUAGAGAUUUGGAAGAACACCAGUGGCGAAGGCGACUUUCUGGACGAUGUCUGACGCUGAGGCGCGAAAGCUAGGGGAGCGAACGGGAUUAGAAACCCCUGUAGUCC
RNAcentral lists this ribosomal RNA (450 nucleotides) under uncultured bacterium. Its description in RNAcentral is "partial 16S ribosomal RNA". It matches the Rfam family "Bacterial small subunit ribosomal RNA", at positions 354 to 796 of the family's 1533-position model. The record is from RNAcentral.